GUUAUCAGCCCCCCUUCAAGCUGGAGAUUGGAUGUGCUUGUAGCUCAAUUAAUCCCAGCUUGGACACAAGAACAGAAAAGGAAGGACCGCCGAGGCUUUUGGUGAAAAUAUCAGCCAGUUGAUGUUGGGCUGGAACAUGCUGAGGUUGAAUGAGGUCUUUUGUGAUUUGCUCCCUGACGAUAUGACAAUCAAUGUCGAGAUGUUUGGUUCUUUCAUGGAAGAUUGGAUUGGAUGCGAUGUAAAGUGCUGCUUUGUUAUCACAAUAUAGUUUGACAGGAAGCAAAGUACGUAUUUGGAAAGUUUGAAGUAGAUAUGAUAGCCAUUUUAGUUCGCAAACCGUAGAAGCCAUGCUUCUAUAUUCGGCCUCAGCGGAAGAGCGGCUCACAGUGGGUUGCUUUUUAGACUUCCAUGAGACUAGUGAUUGACCAAGGAAAAUGCAAAAACCCGUGAUGGAACGCUUGGUUUCAGUACAAG
This 474-nucleotide unclassified non-coding RNA is filed under the name Hevea brasiliensis (rubber tree). Lineage: Eukaryota; Viridiplantae; Streptophyta; Magnoliopsida; Malpighiales; Euphorbiaceae. The record is from RNAcentral.